AUACUUACCGGGCAGGGAAGAAACCACAAUCACACAGGUUGUUUCUUCGGGGCACAGCUCAUUAUUGUGUACCUGAAGUGCUGACCCUGAGAUUCCCUUAAGUCGGGAAAGCUGACUGCAUAAUUUGUACUAGUGGGACACUGUUAACACUCUCCUCU
Non-coding RNA from Myodes glareolus (Bank vole), 158 nucleotides. The record is from RefSeq and is a predicted model, not a curated record. NCBI's taxonomy places the organism in Eukaryota, Metazoa, Chordata, Mammalia, Rodentia, Cricetidae.